RNAcentral lists this ribosomal RNA (307 nucleotides) under uncultured bacterium. Its description in RNAcentral is "bacterial SSU rRNA". It matches the Rfam family "Bacterial small subunit ribosomal RNA", at positions 28 to 334 of the family's 1533-position model. The record is from RNAcentral.
GAUAAACGCCGGCGGCGUGCCUAAUACAUGCAAGUCGAACGGGAGCAGCAAUGCUCCAGUGGCGUACGGGUGAGUAACACGUUGGUAACCUGCCCCGGAGACCGGAAUACCAGGAGGAAACCCCUGCUAAUGCCGGAUGAUGCCGGAAGGGCGCAAGCCUUUCCGGCCAAAGGCGGCCUCUAAAGCCGCGCCCCGGGAUGGACCUGCGUCGCAUUAGCUAGUUGGCGGGAUAGAGGCCCACCAAGGCUGGGAUGCGUAGCCGAGCCGAGAGGCUGAUCGGCCACAUUGGGACUGAGACACGGCCCAG